UACAGAGGGUGCAAGCGUUGUUCGGAAUCAUUGGGCGUAAAGGGCGUGUAGGCGGUCUGCUAAGUCAUGUGUGAAAGCCCUCGGCUUAACCGAGGAACGACGCAUGAAACUGGCAAGCUAGAGUACCAAAGAGGGGGGUGGAAUUCCCGGUGUAGCGGUGAGAUGCGUAGAUAUCAGGAGGAAUACCGGUGGCGAAAGCGGGUUGCUAGGCUGAUACUGACGCUGAGGCGCGAAAGCUAGGGUAGCAAACGGG
RNAcentral lists this ribosomal RNA (253 nucleotides) under uncultured bacterium. Its description in RNAcentral is "partial 16S ribosomal RNA". It matches the Rfam family "Bacterial small subunit ribosomal RNA", at positions 524 to 776 of the family's 1533-position model. The record is from RNAcentral.